This 497-nucleotide ribosomal RNA is filed under the name uncultured bacterium. RNAcentral describes it as "partial 16S ribosomal RNA". It matches the Rfam family "Bacterial small subunit ribosomal RNA", at positions 28 to 507 of the family's 1533-position model. The record is from RNAcentral.
GAUGAACGCUGGCGGCGUGCCUAAUACAUGCAAGUCGAGCGAACAGACGAGGAGCUUGCUCCUCUGACGUUAGCGGCGGACGGGUGAGUAACACGUGGAUAACCUACCUAUAAGACUGGGAUAACUUCGGGAAACCGGAGCUAAUACCGGAUAACAUGUUGAACCGCAUGGUUCAAUAGUGAAAGACGGUCUUGCUGUCACUUAUAGAUGGAUCCGCGCCGCAUUAGCUAGUUGGUAAGGUAACGGCUUACCAAGGCAACGAUGCGUAGCCGACCUGAGAGGGUGAUCGGCCACACUGGAACGGAGACACGGUCCAGACUCCUACGGGAGGCAGCAGUAGGGAAUCUUCCGCAAUGGGCGAAAGCCUGACGGAGCAACGCCGCGUGAGUGAAGAAGGUCUUCGGAUCGUAAAACUCUGUUAUUAGGGAAGAACAAAUGUGUAAGUAACUAUGCACGUCUUGACGGUACCUAAUCAGAAAGCCACGGCUAACUACGUG